GGAAACGACUGCUAAUACCCAAUGUGCCGCAAGGUGAAACCUAAUUGGCCUGGAGAAGAGCUUGCGUCUGAAUAUCUAGUUGGUGGGGUAAGGGCCUACCAAGGCGACGAUUAGUAGCUGGUCUGAGAGGAUGAGCAACCACACUGGGACUGAAACACGGCCCAAACUCCUACGGGAGGCAGCAGUGAGGAAUUUUCCUCAUUGGGCAAAAGCCUGACGGAACAACGCCGCGAGGGGGAGGAAGGUCUUUGGAUUGUAAACCUCUUUUCUCGAGGAAGAAGUUCUGACGGUACUUGAGGAAUCAGCCUCGGCUAACUCCGUGCCAGCAGCCGCGGUAAUACGGGGGAGGCAAGCGUUAUCCGGAAUUAUUGGGCGUAAAGCGUCCGCAGGUGGUCAGCCAAGUCUGCCGUCAAAUCAGGUUGCUUAACGACCUAAAGGCGGUGGAAACUGGCAGACUAGAGAGCAGUAGGGGUAGCAGGAAUUCCCAGUGUAGCCGUGAAAUGCGUAGAGAUUGGGAAGAACAUCGGUGGCGAAAGCGUGCUACUGGGCUGUAUCUGACACUCAGGGACGAAAGCUAGGGGAGCAAAAGGGAUUAAAUACCCCUGUAGUCCUACCCGUAAACGAUGGAUACUAGGCGUGGCUUGUAUCUACCCGAGCCGUGCCGAAGCUAACGCGUUAAGUAUCCCGCCUGGGGAGUACGCACGCAAGUGUAAAACUCAAAGAAAUUGACGGGGGCCCGCAAAAGGGGUGGAGUAUGUGGUUUAAUUCGAUGCAACGCGGAGAACCCUCCCACGACUUGACAUGUCGCGAACCCUGGUGAAAGCUGGGGGUGCCUUCGGGAGCGCAAACACAGGUGGUGCAUGGCUGUGGUCAGCUCGUUUCGUGAGAUGUUGGGUUAAGUCCCGCAACGAGCGCAACCCUCGUUCUUAGUUGCCAGCAUUAAGUUGGGGACUUUAAGGAGACUGCCGGUGACAAACCGGAGGAAGGUGGGGAUGACGUCAAGUCAGCAUGCCCCUUACGUCUUGGGGGACACACGUACUACAAUGGUCGGGACAAAGGGC
Molecule: ribosomal RNA, 1061 nt
Filed under: Microcystis flos-aquae AWQC-MIC346
Lineage: Bacteria; Bacillati; Cyanobacteriota; Cyanophyceae; Chroococcales; Microcystaceae
Description: bacterial SSU rRNA
Rfam family: Bacterial small subunit ribosomal RNA
Source: RNAcentral